AUUGAACGCUGGCGGCGUGCCUAACACAUGCAAGUCGAGCGGUAACAGGUGUAGCAAUACAUGCUGACGAGCGGCGAACGGGUGAGUAAUGCUUUGGAAUCUUCCCAGUAGUGGGGAAUAACCAGUCGAAAGAUUGGCUAAUACCGCAUACGUCUGUAAAGGGAAAGCGGGGCUCGCAAGACCUCGCGGCUAUUGGAUGAGCCAAAGUCGGAUUAGCUAGUUGGNGGGGUAAUGGCCUACCAAGGCGACAAUCCGUAGCUGGUCUGAGAGGACGACCAGCCACACCGGAACUGAGACACGGUCCGGACUCCUACGGGAGGCAGCAGUGGGGAAUAUUGGAC
RNAcentral lists this ribosomal RNA (341 nucleotides) under uncultured bacterium. RNAcentral describes it as "bacterial SSU rRNA". It matches the Rfam family "Bacterial small subunit ribosomal RNA", at positions 30 to 369 of the family's 1533-position model. The record is from RNAcentral.